This 312-nucleotide long non-coding RNA is filed under the name Physcomitrium patens. Its description in RNAcentral is "long non-coding RNA (PPAT_LNC005729)". The record is from RNAcentral. Lineage: Eukaryota; Viridiplantae; Streptophyta; Bryopsida; Funariales; Funariaceae.
GCAUUACUGCCAGGUCAUUUGCUGAUUGACACGUGGCGCUACACAUGACAUGUUGUACCUCUUGAUAUAAAAGAGUCCCUAGGGAAAUUCACAUGUGUUCUAUUGUAAACGAUUCCCCUUUAGAAGGAAAAAAAUAAAAUAAAAUAAAAAUAAAAAUUAUAUGAAUGGCUAAAUGUAAUUUUUGCAUGAACAUGUUUUGACUUCCCUCCGGCAAUCAAAUUAUCAAUAAUAAUUGGUAUUCACAUUUUGUGUAAGGAAAGCAAGUGCGUCUAGAAUUAGCAAACCCACAAGUUGUUAUUAUUAUUAUUAUUA